RNAcentral lists this ribosomal RNA (417 nucleotides) under Bacillus sp. R-46144. RNAcentral describes it as "bacterial SSU rRNA". It matches the Rfam family "Bacterial small subunit ribosomal RNA", at positions 11 to 416 of the family's 1533-position model. The record is from RNAcentral. Lineage: Bacteria; Bacillati; Bacillota; Bacilli; Caryophanales; Bacillaceae.
GUUUGAUCCUGGCUCAGGAUGAACGCUGGCGGCGUGCCUAAUACAUGCAAGUCGAGCGAAUGGAUUGAGAGCUUGCUCUCAAGAAGUUAGCGGCGGACGGGUGAGUAACACGUGGGUAACCUGCCCAUAAGACUGGGAUAACUCCGGGAAACCGGGGCUAAUACCGGAUAACAUUUUGAACYGCAUGGUUCGAAAUUGAAAGGCGGCUUCGGCUGUCACUUAUGGAUGGACCCGCGUCGCAUUAGCUAGUUGGUGAGGUAACGGCUCACCAAGGCAACGAUGCGUAGCCGACCUGAGAGGGUGAUCGGCCACACUGGGACUGAGACACGGCCCAGACUCCUACGGGAGGCAGCAGUAGGGAAUCUUCCGCAAUGGACGAAAGUCUGACGGAGCAACGCCGCGUGAGUGAUGAAGGCU